CCUACGGGGUGCAGCAGUGAGGAAUAUUGGUCAAUGGGCGCGAGCCUGAACCAGCCAAGUCGCGUGAAGGAUGACUGCCCUACGGGUUGUAAACUUCUUUUAUAAAGGAAUAAAGUGAGGCACGUGUGCCUUUUUGUAUGUACUUUAUGAAUAAGGCUCGGCUAACUCCGUGCCAGCAGCCGCGGUAAUACGGAGGAUCCGAGCGUUAUCCGGAUUUAGUGGGUUUAAAGGGAGCGUAGAUGGGUUGUUAAGUCAGUUUGGAAAGUUUGCGGCUCAACCGUAAAAUUGCAAUUGAUACUGGCAGUCUUGAGUACAGUUGAGGUAGGCGGAAUUCGUGGUGUAGCGGUGAAAUGCUUAGAUAUCACGAAGAACUCCGAUUGCGAAGGCAGCUUACUAAACUGCCACUGACAUUGAUGCUCGAAAGUGUGGGUAUUAAACAGGAUUAGAUACCCCUGUAGUC
Molecule: ribosomal RNA, 460 nt
Filed under: uncultured bacterium
Lineage: Bacteria
Description: partial 16S ribosomal RNA
Rfam family: Bacterial small subunit ribosomal RNA
Source: RNAcentral